Molecule: ribosomal RNA, 274 nt
Filed under: uncultured bacterium
Lineage: Bacteria
Description: partial 16S ribosomal RNA
Rfam family: Bacterial small subunit ribosomal RNA
Source: RNAcentral
AUACGGAGGGUGCAAGCGUUAUUCGGAAUCAUUGGGUUUAAAGGGUCCGUAGGCGGGCUAAUAAGUCAGGGGUGAAAUCCCACAGCUUAACUGUGGAACUGCCCUUGAUACUGUUGGUCUUGAGUUACAGUGAAGUGGUUAGAAUGUGUAGUGUAGCGGUGAAAUGCAUAGAGAUUACACAGAAUACCGAUUGCGAAGGCAGAUCACUAACUGUAUACUGACGCUAAUGGACGAAAGCGUGGGGAGCGAACAGGAUUAGAAACCCCAGUAGUCC